This 253-nucleotide ribosomal RNA is filed under the name uncultured bacterium. Its description in RNAcentral is "partial 16S ribosomal RNA". It matches the Rfam family "Bacterial small subunit ribosomal RNA", at positions 524 to 776 of the family's 1533-position model. The record is from RNAcentral.
UACGAAGGGGGCUAGCGUUGCUCGGAAUUACUGGGCGUAAAGGGCGCGUAGGCGGACAGUUUAGUCAGAGGUGAAAGCCCAGGGCUCAACCUUGGAAUUGCCUUUGAUACUGGCUGUCUUGAGUUCGGGAGAGGUGAGUGGAAUGCCGAGUGUAGAGGUGAAAUUCGUAGAGAUCCGGAGGAACACCAAAGGCGAAGGCAGUGUCCUGGGGAGUACCUGACGCUCAGGUGCGAAAGCCAGGGGAGCGAACGGG